UAAGUUGCAGGGUAUAGACCCGAAACCCGGUGAUCUAGCCAUGGGCAGGUUGAAGGUUGGGUAACACUAACUGGAGGACCGAACCGACUAAUGUUGAAAAAUUAGCGGAUGACUUGUGGCUGGGGGUGAAAGGCCAAUCAAACCGGGAGAUAGCUGGUUCUCCCCGAAAGCUAUUUAGGUAGCGCCUCGUGAAUUCAUCUCCGGGGGUAGAGCACUGUUUCGGCAAGGGGGUCAUCCCGACUUACCAACCCGAUGCAAACUGCGAAUACCGGAGAAUGUUAUCACGGGAGACACACGGCGGGUGCUAACGUCCGUCGUGAAGAGGGAAACAACCCAGACCGCCAGCUAAGGUCCCAAAGUCAUGGUUAAGUGGGAAACGAUGUGGGAAGGCCCAGACAGCCAGGAUGUUGGCUUAGAAGCAGCCAUCAUUUAAAGAAAGCGUAAUAGCUCACUGGUCGAGUCGGCCUGCGCGGAAGAUGUAACGGGGCUAAACCAUGCACCGAAGCUGCGGCAGCGACACUGUGUGUUGUUGGGUAGGGGAGCGU
Molecule: ribosomal RNA, 545 nt
Filed under: Escherichia coli
Lineage: Bacteria; Pseudomonadati; Pseudomonadota; Gammaproteobacteria; Enterobacterales; Enterobacteriaceae
Description: partial 23S ribosomal RNA
Rfam family: Bacterial large subunit ribosomal RNA
Source: RNAcentral